Molecule: transfer RNA, 86 nt
Filed under: Opitutaceae bacterium EW11
Lineage: Bacteria; Pseudomonadati; Verrucomicrobiota; Opitutia; Opitutales; Opitutaceae
Description: tRNA-Leu
Rfam family: tRNA
About the family: Transfer RNA (tRNA) molecules are approximately 80 nucleotides in length. Their secondary structure includes four short double-helical elements and three loops (D, anti-codon, and T loops).
Source: RNAcentral
GCGGACGUGGCGGAACAGUAGACGCUUCGGCCCGAGAUGCCGAUGAGCGCAAGCUCGUGAGGGUGCGAUUCCCUCCGCCCGCACCA